This is a long non-coding RNA of Etheostoma spectabile (orangethroat darter), 826 nucleotides long. RefSeq lists it as uncharacterized. Lineage: Eukaryota; Metazoa; Chordata; Actinopteri; Perciformes; Percidae. The record is from RefSeq and is a predicted model, not a curated record. The transcript is spliced from 3 exons.
UUGCCCAUGUAAGCUGGCUGCAGAUCCAGUCACAAUUAUCUUCCAGCAACACAAGCUCCUGCAACACAACCAGCUAUGACUUCAUGGUGCAGAUGUGGGAGAGACCUAUGGAAGAGGAAGGGCUCUCACUGAGCCUGACAUACCUUUUCCACCUGCUCGUCCCACUGCUCAAAACCUCGCUGUCAUCUGCUAUCAAAGUCAGGGUUGUCCCCGAUACCCAUCCAGCUUCUUCCCAAACUCUGGGGUCAGUCACUAUGAUGUGGAACCGCCAUCAACCGUCUGGUGUCGUGGUACAGUUUGUGCUGCAGUGAACGGGUGGCACAGCAGAGCAUCCAGAUCAUCUGCUGUGCCGAACAAGCUUGGAAACGAGCCCUGUCCCAGUUCUGUGAGGAAGAGUAUGCCACUAAGACCAACCCACAUGUGAGCUGCAAGAACAGCCAAGACGCACAGUGCAUAUGCUUUGACAGCAAGCUGCCAAACCCGAACUACGAGCCAACACCAGGCUACACUGCACCCCCAAUCCCCGAGGAUCCAAAAUUCACCUUCAAUCCAAUUGCUUGCUGAAGGUGGUAAAAGAAAUAUGUACCGUAUAAAACCUACAGGUAAUAAAAUAAUUAUCUUGAAUAACUUUGGGGCGGUAGAUUGGAUAAAUGUGCUCAUCACCUACACCAGAAAAAAUGUACACGAUAAUGCUGAUCUUUGUCACAGAGCAGGACAGGGCAUGCUGGUUGUGUUAAUGCUGAGUAAGGAUAAUAACAGCUGAAGUCAGUUAUUAUUUUGACGGAUCUGUAUUUUAACCGUUUUGUUUCCUAAUUACAUUUCUCUG